UACGUAGGUCGCAAGCGUUAUCCGAAAUUACUGGGCGUAAAGCGUUCGAAGGUGGAUAAAUAAGUCUGAUGUUAAAUACCCACGGCUCAACCGGGGUGCUAUAUUGGAAACUGUUUGACUAGAGGGAUGCAGGGGUAGCUGGAAUUUCCAUUGUAGGGGUUAAAUCCGUAGAUAAUGGAAGGAACACCAAAAGCGAAAGCAGGCUACUGGGCAUUUCCUGACACUGCUCGAACGAAAGCGUGGGGAGCAAAACGG
This 255-nucleotide ribosomal RNA is filed under the name uncultured bacterium. RNAcentral describes it as "partial 16S ribosomal RNA". It matches the Rfam family "Bacterial small subunit ribosomal RNA", at positions 524 to 776 of the family's 1533-position model. The record is from RNAcentral.